GGUCAGGUGGCCGAGAGGCGAGGUAGGGGUCUGCAAAACCCUGGACGGCGGUUCGAUUCCGCCCUUGACCUCCU
This 74-nucleotide transfer RNA is filed under the name Sediminibacterium sp. RNAcentral describes it as "tRNA-Cys". It matches the Rfam family "tRNA". From Rfam's summary of the family: Transfer RNA (tRNA) molecules are approximately 80 nucleotides in length. Their secondary structure includes four short double-helical elements and three loops (D, anti-codon, and T loops). Further hydrogen bonds mediate the characteristic L-shaped molecular structure. tRNAs have two regions of fundamental functional importance: the anti-codon, which is responsible for specific mRNA codon recognition, and the 3' end, to which the tRNAs corresponding amino acid is attached (by aminoacyl-tRNA synthetases). tRNAs cope with the degeneracy of the genetic code in two manners: having more than one tRNA (with a specific anti-codon) for a particular amino acid; and 'wobble' base-pairing, i.e. permitting non-standard base-pairing at the 3rd anti-codon position. Lineage: Bacteria; Pseudomonadati; Bacteroidota; Chitinophagia; Chitinophagales; Chitinophagaceae. The record is from RNAcentral.